This 740-nucleotide ribosomal RNA is filed under the name uncultured bacterium. RNAcentral describes it as "bacterial SSU rRNA". It matches the Rfam family "Bacterial small subunit ribosomal RNA", at positions 8 to 796 of the family's 1533-position model. The record is from RNAcentral.
AGAGUUUGAUCAUGGCUCAGAGCGAACGCUGGCGGCAGGCCUAACACAUGCAAGUCGAGCGCCCCGCAAGGGGAGCGGCAGACGGGAGAGUAACACGUGGGAACGUGCCCUUCAGUUCGGAACAACCCAGGGAAACUUGGGCUGAUACCGGAUACGUCCGUAAGGAGAAAGAUUUAUCGCUGAAGGAUCGGCCCGCGUCUGAUUAGCUAGUUGGUGAGGUAACGGCUCACCAAGGCGACGAUCAGUAGCUGGUCUGAGAGGAUGAUCAGCCUCACUGGGACUGAGACACGGCCCAGACUCCUACGGGAGGCAGCAGUGGGGAAUAUUGGACAAUGGGCGCAAGCCUGAUCCAGCCAUGCCGCGUGGGUGAAGAAGGCCCUUGGGUUGUAAAGCCCUUUCGGCGGGGAAGAUAAUGACGGUACCCGCAGAAGAAGCCCCGGCUAACUUCGUGCCAGCAGCCGCGGUAAUACGAAGGGGGCUAGCGUUACUCGGAAUCACUGGGCGUAAAGCGCACGUAGGCGGCUUUUUAAGUCAGAGGUGAAAUCCUGGAGCUCAACUCCAGAACUGCCUUUGAUACUGGAGAGCUUGAGUCCGGGAGAGGUGAGUGGAACUGCGAGUGUAGAGGUGAAAUUCGUAGAUAUUCGCAAGAACACCAGUGGCGAAGGCGGCUCACUGGCCCGGUACUGACGCUGAGGUGCGAAAGCGUGGGGAGCAAACAGGAUUAGAUACCCCGGUAGUCC